This 510-nucleotide ribosomal RNA is filed under the name Triticum aestivum (bread wheat). RNAcentral's name for it is "partial small subunit ribosomal RNA". Lineage: Eukaryota; Viridiplantae; Streptophyta; Magnoliopsida; Poales; Poaceae. The record is from RNAcentral.
AUGGCGUCCCUCCGCGCCUCCCUCCUGCUCGUGGCCGUGCUGUGCGCGCUCGCGGCGUCGUCCGCCUCCGCGGCCCGCGACCUCCGCUUGCGCCCUACCCAGUUCGUCGUGCGCGGCCGCGUCUGGUGCGACACCUGCCGCGCCGGAUUCGAGACCCCGGCCUCCACCUUCAUCGCUGGAGCGAAGGUUAGAGUUGAGUGCAAGUCGAGAUCUACUGGGGCCCAGACAUGCAGCUUCGAGGGUCACACCGACCACACCGGUACCUACAACAUUCCUGUGGCCGACGAGCAUGAGCACGAGCUCUGUGAGUCUGUCCUCAUCAGCAGCCCAGACACGGCGUGUGCCAAGACAGUUGCUGGGCGGGAGAGGGCCCCUGUCUUCCUCAACAACAACAACGGCGUCGCGUCCAACGUCCGGUUGGCGAAUGCUCUGGGGUUCGAGAAGGACACCCCUCUGGCUGCAUGCACGCAGAUCCUCAAGAUGUAUGAGGAGGUCGACGACCGCGUCUGA